RNAcentral lists this transfer RNA (73 nucleotides) under Megalops atlanticus (tarpon). It matches the Rfam family "tRNA". Rfam says of the family: Transfer RNA (tRNA) molecules are approximately 80 nucleotides in length. Lineage: Eukaryota; Metazoa; Chordata; Actinopteri; Elopiformes; Megalopidae. The record is from Rfam by way of RNAcentral.
GGUUCCAUAGUGUAGUGGUUAUCACGUCUGCUUUACACGUAGAAGGCCCUGGGUUCGAGCCCCAGUGGAACCA